Molecule: ribosomal RNA, 253 nt
Filed under: uncultured bacterium
Lineage: Bacteria
Description: partial 16S ribosomal RNA
Rfam family: Bacterial small subunit ribosomal RNA
Source: RNAcentral
UACGAAGGGGGCUAGCGUUGCUCGGAAUCACUGGGCGUAAAGCGCACGUAGGCGGCUUGUUAAGUCAGGGGUGAAAUCCUGGAGCUCAACUCCAGAACUGCCUUUGAUACUGAGAAGCUUGAGUCCGGGAGAGGUGAGUGGAACUGCGAGUGUAGAGGUGAAAUUCGUAGAUAUUCGCAAGAACACCAGUGGCGAAGGCGGGUCUCUGGGCCGAUACUGACGCUGAGGAGCGAAAGCGUGGGGAGCGAACAGG